CAUCCUUAUGAUCAAUGAAUAAUGUCAUGCAGUUUAAAAGUAGUGAACUGAUAUCCUUUGUUGAUUAAUCUAUUUUGUUAUG
Small nucleolar RNA from Malania oleifera, 82 nucleotides. RefSeq annotates it as small nucleolar RNA R21. The record is from RefSeq and is a predicted model, not a curated record. Lineage: Eukaryota; Viridiplantae; Streptophyta; Magnoliopsida; Santalales; Ximeniaceae. The transcript has a single exon.